This 433-nucleotide ribosomal RNA is filed under the name Rubrobacteridae bacterium Ellin7228. Its description in RNAcentral is "bacterial SSU rRNA". It matches the Rfam family "Bacterial small subunit ribosomal RNA", at positions 28 to 454 of the family's 1533-position model. Lineage: Bacteria; Bacillati; Actinomycetota; Rubrobacteria. The record is from RNAcentral.
GACGAACGCUGGCGGCGUGCUUAACACAUGCAAGUGGAGCGACGAACCAGGGCUUGCCCUGGGGCAGAGCCGCGAACGGGUGAGUAACACGUGGGUAACCUACCCCGAUGACCGGGACAACCCGAGGAAACUCGGGCUAAUACCGGAUGUUCUCGUAUCUCAUAAGGGAUCCGAGCAAAGAUAGCUUCGGCCUUCGCAUCGGGACGGGCCCGCGGCCCAUUAGCUUGUUGGUGGGGUAACGGCCUACCAAGGCGACGAUGGGUAGCUGGUCUGAGAGGACGAUCAGCCACACUGGGACUGAGACACGGCCCAGACUCCUACGGGAGGCAGCAGUGGGGAAUCUUGCGCAAUGCGCGAAAGCGUGACGCAGCAACGCCGCGUGGGGGAAGAAGGCCUUCGGGUUGUAAACCCCUUUCAGUUGGGACGAAGCUUC